This 466-nucleotide ribosomal RNA is filed under the name uncultured bacterium. RNAcentral's name for it is "partial 16S ribosomal RNA". It matches the Rfam family "Bacterial small subunit ribosomal RNA", at positions 28 to 507 of the family's 1533-position model. The record is from RNAcentral.
GAUGAACGCUGGCGGCGUGCUUAACACAUGCAAGUCGAACGGAAAGGCUCCUGCUUGCAGGGGUACUCGAGUGGCGAACGGGUGAGUAACACGUGGGUGAUCUGCCCUGCACUUCGGGAUAAGCCUGGGAAACUGGGUCUAAUACCGGAUAGGACGAUGGCUUGGAUGCCAUUGUGGAAAGUUUUUUCGGUGUGGGAUGAGCUCGCGGCCUAUCAGCUUGUGGGUGGGGGAAUGGCCUACCAAGGCGUCGACGGGUAGCCGGCCUGAGAGGGUGUACGGCCACAUUGGGACUGAGGUACGGCGCAGAAUCCUACGGGGGGCAGCAGUGGGGAAUAUUGCACAAUGGGCGCAAGCCUGAUGCAGCGACGCCGCGUGGGGGAUGACGGCCUUCGGGUUGUAAACUCCUUUCGCUAGGGACGAAGCGCUAGUGACGGUACCUGGAGAAGAAGCACCGGCUAACUACGUG